GUGACUCCGUCUCCUCGGCUUGCUCCUCCCGCAGCCCUAGGUACAGCCGCCGGCGCCGCCAGAUCUUACUACUACUUAUGGUGCAGCACUUCAGCAGCCAACGCCACAACUGGACAGUGGCAGUCCAAUGCCCCAACUCCAUAUCCCCUCGACCCCUCCAUCUCCGCUUCUCACGCACGGACAGGAACGACGGCGGGCCGGCGCAAGGCUCUGAGCUGCGAUGCGGGGCGGCGCGACGUACAAGAGCGUUGCUGCGCGCAGGACAAGGAGCAUGACGACACGGCUGUGCCGGCAGGCAGCCGCGCGCAGACCACGGCGAGGAGCCUGACCGUGCUGAGGAGCUUACGGCCACACCAAACAGCCGACGCUUAGGGACGAGUCUGAUUCCAUCAUAACCGAAGCCUAGAAGAUGAUGCCUAGAACAUUGAGGUGAAGAACGAAAGAUUAUUCCUAGAACAUUCAGGUGAAGAAUGGAAUAUGAUGCAUGGUUGUACCUGUGGUUACUUGAUGUUGUGUGAUGCCAUUUUGUGAGAAACUAAGACUAAGAAAUGAUGCAGUGUUACUGCUCCAGUCUGCGUGGUGCUCGGGUCUUCAGUCUCUGGGCGUUGUGUCACCUUGUCUUGCAUGAGGUGCGAUGUAAUAAGUUUCUUGCUGGGUCAGUGAACCGAGUUUCUGAAC
Triticum aestivum (bread wheat) is the source of this 678-nucleotide long non-coding RNA. RefSeq lists it as uncharacterized. The transcript has 2 exons. Lineage: Eukaryota; Viridiplantae; Streptophyta; Magnoliopsida; Poales; Poaceae. The record is from RefSeq and is a predicted model, not a curated record.